UUCUCAUAUGAAUAAAUAAUAUACUAUAUAUAAUGAGUUGAGCUGGAAUGCUAUCCGGAGCAAAUGGCUCUGUUGCCACCUAUUUAUUUUCGGUGAUGGAGCUUCUAAAUCGAUGAUUGGCAUCGUUAAACAUGAUUUAUACUACUUGAAUUAUCUAGAAACCAAAAUUCAAAUCCUUUCGUCAUCAUUGACAUAAUGAUCAAAAAAGUUUCAAAAUUUACAAUUUAAAUAGUAAAUAUGAGAUUAUUUCUCGUUUAACGGCGUAAAGAUAUCUAUAUCAAUUGAAUUUUAGUUAGAAAAAUUUUAGAAUUAUUCAAAAAAAGAUGUAUAUUCUUGAUCA
RNAcentral lists this long non-coding RNA (340 nucleotides) under Ananas comosus (pineapple). Its description in RNAcentral is "long non-coding RNA (ACOM_LNC020989)". The record is from RNAcentral. Lineage: Eukaryota; Viridiplantae; Streptophyta; Magnoliopsida; Poales; Bromeliaceae.